UACGUAGGGUGCGAGCGUUAAUCGGAAUUACUGGGCGUAAAGCGUGCGUAGGCGGUUCGCUGUGUCCGAUGUGAAAGCCCCGGGCUUAACCUGGGAAUGGCAUUGGAAACUGGCGGGCUUGAGUGCGGCAGAGGGGGGUGGAAUUCCGCGUGUAGCAGUGAAAUGCGUAGAGAUGCGGAGGAACACCGAUGGCGAAGGCAGCCCCGUGGGUCGACACUGACGCUCAGGCACGAAAGCGUGGGGAGCAAACAGG
Molecule: ribosomal RNA, 253 nt
Filed under: uncultured bacterium
Lineage: Bacteria
Description: partial 16S ribosomal RNA
Rfam family: Bacterial small subunit ribosomal RNA
Source: RNAcentral